UGGGGAAUUUUGGACAAUGGGCGAAAGCCUGAUCCAGCAAUGCCGCGUGUGUGAAGAAGGCCUUCGGGUUGUAAAGCACUUUUGUCCGGAAAGAAAUCCUUGGCUCUAAUACAGUCGGGGGAUGACGGUACCGGAAGAAUAAGCACCGGCUAACUACGUGCCAGCAGCCGCGGUAAUACGUAGGGUGCAAGCGUUAAUCGGAAUUACUGGGCGUAAAGCGUGCGCAGGCGGUUUGCUAAGACCGAUGUGAAAUCCCCGGGCUCAACCUGGGAACUGCAUUGGUGACUGGCAGGCUAGAGUAUGGCAGAGGGGGGUAGAAUUCCACGUGUAGCAGUGAAAUGCGUAGAGAUGUGGAGGAAUACCGAUGGCGAAGGCAGCCCCCUGGGCCAAUACUGACGCUCAUGCACGAAAGCGUGGGGAGCAAACAGGAUUAGAUACCCUGGUAGUCCACGCCCUAAACGAUGUCAACUAGUUGUUGGGGAUUCAUUUCCUUAGUAACGUAGCUAACGCGUGAAGUUGACCGCCUGGGGAGUACGUCGCAAGAUU
RNAcentral lists this ribosomal RNA (546 nucleotides) under uncultured bacterium. RNAcentral describes it as "partial 16S ribosomal RNA". It matches the Rfam family "Bacterial small subunit ribosomal RNA", at positions 355 to 895 of the family's 1533-position model. The record is from RNAcentral.